UGGCCGUAAACGAUGUGGACUUGGUGUUGGAAUGGCUCCGAGCUGCUCCAGUGCCGAAGGGAAGCUGUUAAGUCCACCGCCUGGGAAGUACGGUCGCGAGACUGAAACUUAAAGGAUUGGCGGGGGAGCACCACAACGCGUGGAGCCUGCGGUUUAAUUGGAUUCAACGCCGGACAUCUCACCAGGGGCGGCAGCAGAAUGAUGGCCAGGUUGAUGACCUUGCUUGACAAGCUGAGAGGAGGUGCAUGGCGUGUGACUGU
Molecule: ribosomal RNA, 260 nt
Filed under: uncultured archaeon
Lineage: Archaea
Description: partial 16S ribosomal RNA
Rfam family: Archaeal small subunit ribosomal RNA
Source: RNAcentral